UCGACGGCAGCACAGUAAGAGCUUGCUCUUAUGGGUGGCGAGUGGCGGACGGGUGAGGAAUACAUCGGAAUCUACUCUUUCGUGGGGGAUAACGUAGGGAAACUUACGCUAAUACCGCAUACGACCUACGGGUGAAAGCGGAGGACCUUCGGGCUUCGCGCGAUUGAAUGAGCCGAUGUCGGAUUAGCUAGUUGGCGGGGUAAAGGCCCACCAAGGCGACGAUCCGUAGCUGGUCUGAGAGGAUGAUCAGCCACACUGG
RNAcentral lists this ribosomal RNA (259 nucleotides) under Xanthomonas sp. MCA2.20. Its description in RNAcentral is "partial 16S ribosomal RNA". It matches the Rfam family "Bacterial small subunit ribosomal RNA", at positions 62 to 316 of the family's 1533-position model. Lineage: Bacteria; Pseudomonadati; Pseudomonadota; Gammaproteobacteria; Lysobacterales; Lysobacteraceae. The record is from RNAcentral.